GUAAAAUUAUUCAAAUUAUUCUCUCGGCCUUAGCGCCAUUUUUUUUGGAAACCUCUGCGCCAUGAGAGCCAAGUGGAGGAAGAAACGAAUGCGCAGGCUGAAGC
Molecule: long non-coding RNA, 104 nt
Organism: Sapajus apella (tufted capuchin)
Lineage: Eukaryota; Metazoa; Chordata; Mammalia; Primates; Cebidae
Exons: 3
Source: RefSeq, a predicted model, not a curated record